This 253-nucleotide ribosomal RNA is filed under the name uncultured bacterium. RNAcentral's name for it is "partial 16S ribosomal RNA". It matches the Rfam family "Bacterial small subunit ribosomal RNA", at positions 524 to 776 of the family's 1533-position model. The record is from RNAcentral.
UACGUAGGGGGCAAGCGUUGUCCGGAAUCAUUGGGCGUAAAGCGCGUGUAGGCGGCCCGAUAAGUCCGCUGUGAAAGUCCAGGGCUCAACCCUGGGAUGCCGGUGGAUACUGUCGGGCUCGAGUCCGGAAGAGGCGAGUGGAAUUCCUGGUGUAGCGGUGAAAUGCGCAGAUAUCGGGAAGAACACCCGUGGCGAAGGCGGCUCUCUGGGACGGUACUGACGCUGAGACGCGAAAGCGUGGGGAGCGAACAGG